AUCUGUUUGCCAGUCUGCUUCAUGUGGUUAAUUAUUAAUGGAAUUACCUCCUCCUUACUACUUCCCUCCUCUCUUCUCUUCCAUACGUGUUGCAUGUCACAAAUUUAUCUUCUCUUUUCCAUUUCCGUUUCAACUGGCCAUCUCUCCUUCUUCCCUUGCCCAGCUCCUCCUCGAAACCCUCGGCCACACGCAGAGGCCGCCUCAGCCGACGCUCCGCCGCGGGUCGCCUCGGCAGUAGUGCGUGGCCAUAAACGUUUACAAGGAACAAUAAAACGGCCGAACGCGCUAAGAAGGAAGCGGAACAGGCCUUCGAGGAGUGCAGCGACGCCGCCAGGCAGGAGAUUAAGGAAUUUCAGCGAAAGAGAGUGGAGGAGCUACAAAGAAGUAUUGACCAGUAUGCAGCCUACCAGCUGACCUGUUCCCGGGCCACCCUUAACACACUCACACAGGCACUUAGCCAAAUCAAAGCUAUCAAUUUAUAGACUCAUCCCUCAAAUCCUAUGGGGCUCACCCACAUCAUAGAUAAGCUCACACCAUGGUACACCAUUAUCACACUGCAACUGUGCUUACUAUGCAGUGUAAAAUGCCCUCCAGCCUUCCCCACUUGCCUAUCCCAAAUGAAAUAUAAUUAUUUUUUAAAUAUAAAUUAGGCGGUUUCUUUGAAAUAAGCUUCCACUCUGAUUCAUCUUCGAGAGCCAAAAUUAUCUUGAGUGUUAACCAGAAUGUCUAAAUGUGAACUAAAAGGCUGCCAGUAAUUGCAUCGGGUUGUAGCUGUACGUAGGAUACCUUGGAGGAAUAAGAACCGUCCAGCAAGUGGUGUGAGCAAAAAACACAUAGUCAUAAUGAUCUCAGACAACAUAUCCUGAUAACAUGAGUGUGUUUGAGCAUAAUAAUCCAUCACAAAAAGGCUGUUCAUGAAUCACAUAAUUCAUUAAGUAGGUGACUGGUUCUUCCAAAGCUACAAAAGACCUGUCAUGUAUCACAAACCAAUAUGAGUAUGAUUUUAUUGAAUUUUAUGCCUUUUAUUAAGGGGAUAGUGUUAAGUGAGCUGGCUUGAUGAAGGCGUUCAUUGCACGUCUCUUUAUAGACCACUUUUUGAAAGAUCACUGCAGAGUGUUGUGGGGAGUACGUAUGGGUGUGAGAUUAUUAAAUUCUGUACUUCAGUUUCUUUGUGAUUGAUAUAUUAGUUUGAUAUAAAUCAUCAUUAUAGUGAUGUAUGCACUAUGGUUUCCAUUUACAGAAUUGUUAUAAGGAUAAAUAAGACUUUUCUGUCUUCUCUGUUUAGAUUAUAUUUUCAGGGUUACAAGAAGUCAAGAAAUCCUAUAAAUGUUAGUUUUUGGACAUUAAUGCUACUUGUUUAUAAAAAAUGGAGAGAGCCAGUAUAAAACAGAGAGAAAAGAAGAGUGUCCUGGGUUUUCAGCUGUUAAAAAGAAUAGGUGUUAUUUCAUGAGCUGUAAAAAUUAGACUAUAUUUCAAGUCAGUCAUUCUUUUUCUUUGAAUACCAUGCAACCACUCGAUUUAAAGUUCAAAUAACAUUGAUACUCCUAUGAUAAUGAUGAUAAAAAUAACAAUAAUGAUGAUGUUAAUUAUGAUAAUGAUAAUGAUUAUGAUAAUAAUGCUAAUGCUAAUGAUGAUAAUGAUAAUGAUUGUAAUAAUAAUGAU
Long non-coding RNA from Penaeus indicus, 1662 nucleotides. RefSeq lists it as uncharacterized. The record is from RefSeq and is a predicted model, not a curated record. Lineage: Eukaryota; Metazoa; Arthropoda; Malacostraca; Decapoda; Penaeidae. The transcript has 3 exons.